This is a long non-coding RNA of Melospiza melodia melodia, 2425 nucleotides long. RefSeq lists it as uncharacterized. The record is from RefSeq and is a predicted model, not a curated record. The transcript has 4 exons. NCBI's taxonomy places the organism in Eukaryota, Metazoa, Chordata, Aves, Passeriformes, Passerellidae.
AAGGAAUUAAGCCAAUCUACCAUGAAUUUUGCCUCCUCCUGAAUCCAGGAUUUAACUCCAAGUUCGUAGCUUGGAUCCACCGACACCCCAGAGCAGGACAGCAACCAACACAGAACAGAAGGUGAAUAGGUUUGACACUUCAGUCUUCAACACCCUCAGAGCACUGUGUUACACAGAAACUGUAUUUCACUGCUGCAAUUAACCGGAUCGUGUCCAAAUUAUAUCAAGAAGUAAAUGAUGAAAACUUCACCUGAAAUGCUAUCACCCUGAGAGACAGUGAUUUAGAGGAGGCAUGCCAAUUUACUGUGUUGGUCAAGAGGUCAAAAAGUAUUUCUUCCCUUCCUUCCUCCCACGCUUACAAUUUUAAUUCCCAAAGUGCUCAUAGUCCUUCAAAAUCCAUGUCUCUUUGAGAAUACAGAUCAACUGAGAUUGAGCAACAAGGAAACAGGACCAUUCAGUGACAGAUUAUCAAACUGCUGAACAUCACAACAAAAUAGUGGUGAUCAUAUGAAGGUUUGAAGGACACCUCUCUUACAUCUCAAUUAUUCUUUUUCCUGCAAACAUGACUCUUGUGGAAUAUUUGAUGACUUAAAGCAAGGAAGAGAAGUCAAAAGGGACUGCAACAGGACCUGCACCAAGAGAGAUCAAAAACAUGGAGACAGCCAUCAUCACUGCAAGACUUGAAGCAUUUAGGCACUCAGCUGCUGUGGUCUCACAGCAAGCAGCUUUUCUCCUUUCCAGAACUCUCUAAAACAGGACAGGCUGUAAUUUAGGUGCCACAAAGAAACACCUGGGAACCAACCAAUGAACCAUCUAUGUUCCUAUUCAUGUAUGAAAAUUACUCACACGUCUUCUACUCUCCCAUUUUUGCCCAAAGUCCUUAGCUGUGUCACAGCAUAUGUUGUUUUCUGUUGAUCACCUGAUUUUACGCGGUACCUUAGUUCUGUAUUUGCACAUCUUCUGUGGGUUGGGCUAGGGAGGUAAGAGGGUGCAUGUACAUAUUAUCAUCUCCUUGGAACCUCCCAGCUAGCAACUUCUGUGCCCAGAAAGUACCUAGGAGCCACACUAACAGUCUGACUCCAGGUUUGAGUAGUGAACACACCAUCAAUCAAGUCAUGCUUUUACACAAACAGUCUGCCAAAUCUCAAACCUCUCUGCUUUGAUUAAGGUCAUCAAGAAGGCAGAUCCAUUCCUGAAAGCAAAUUCAAAGAAAUCUCUGCUGAUAAAGUCUGCAACUGACAGGAAAGAAAGAUGAAAAACAGGUGAAAUGUUAACAAUAACAGCUCUACAUAGCUUUCUUUAGCAUAGAAAUGGGCUGAAAAAGAUGAAUUUCAGUACUGCUAGACCAGUUACUUGCAACACAGACCAUUACAGGCCCUCUGCUCAAGGAGAAGGACUGCAUUUAGGACCAAACUUUGGGAUCCAUAGGGAGCACCCAGAGGACUGGUAUCAGCUGCUGCAGAAGACACCAGCUUCACUACAAACAAGCAGACAAUGGGGGAAGAUUCACUACACACAAGCAGACAAUGCCUCGGUGUCACUUCCCACAAGGACAGCACUGGAGUUCCUCACAAGUGAAAUGAGAAGCAGGCAGGAACACUCAGUCUUGGGAGAAGCAGCCUGCUCUGGAGUGCAGAGGAGAAAACUACAUCCCAAAUCCUGCUGCCAGAGGAGGAGUGUGCACAGGGGCCCGGGAAUGCCGCCCAAGCUGCCGGAUGCUGUGGGCGUCUACAGGAUACGGAAUGCAUGUACCACAUCACACCAAAGUGAGGGAGAUGAUGAAGAUUUCUUUAAACAAAGUGAGGAAGCCUCUGGAUCAGACCCUUGUUGUCACAGGGGUCUAUAACUGCCCUGACAUCUUCAGCAAGGGCAACACAGCAGGACACAAGCACAGCAGGACACAAGUUGACAGAGAUUUUUGGAGGGUGUUAGAGGUAACUUGUUGACAUUGGUAGAGGAUGAGGCAACCAGAUGUGAUGCACAGCUGGACCUGCAGUUCAGUAACACAGGAAGAACCGUGUGGGCAUGAAAUAAUCAGUUGGAGCUUUGGCUGUCGCAACCCUGGAACAGGUUCAAGAUCCCGAAAAAAGUGAAAAAGUGAUGUGCAGACCCCAGAUCUGGGAAAAUGAUGCAGUAAAUCCUCUUAGAACACAUUUCUGGGCACACAAAAGAGUAAGUGACUGGGAAGAGUCAGAAUGGGUUUACUAACAGUAGAUCCUGCUGGACCAUCAUGGUUGUUCAACCUCAGAACACAGAGGAAGACUGGGUGUGAUAGCAUAGCACCAGGAAUGGGGCAAAACCCAAAAGAUUAUGUCAGUGACAAUUUUAAUGGCAUUAUUAGACUUGUUUUCCUACAACUAAUAAUAAUUAGUCUCAUAAUAUUUCCAUUAUAUUACAAAUAAAUGCUUGGCCUUACAAAUAUAAA